Molecule: ribosomal RNA, 871 nt
Filed under: Brevundimonas sp.
Lineage: Bacteria; Pseudomonadati; Pseudomonadota; Alphaproteobacteria; Caulobacterales; Caulobacteraceae
Description: bacterial SSU rRNA
Rfam family: Bacterial small subunit ribosomal RNA
Source: RNAcentral
UGGGACGGGUGAGUACACGUGGGAACGUGCCUUUAGGUUCGGAAUAACUCAGGGAAACUUGUGCUAAUACCGAAUGUGCCCUUCGGGGGAAAGAUUUAUCGCCUUUAGAGCGGCCCGCGUCUGAUUAGCUAGUUGGUUGAGGUAAUGGCUCACCAAGGCGACGAUCAGUAGCUGGUCUGAGAGGAUGAUCAGCCACAUUGGGACUGAGACACGGCCCAAACUCCUACGGGAGGCAGCAGUGGGGAAUCUUGCGCAAUGGGCGAAAGCCUGACGCAGCCAUGCCGCGUGAAUGAUGAAGGUCUUAGGAUUGUAAAAUUCUUUCACCGGGGACGAUAAUGACGGUACCCGGAGAAGAAGCCCCGGCUAACUUCGUGCCAGCAGCCGCGGUAAUACGAAGGGGGCUAGCGUUGCUCGGAAUUACUGGGCGUAAAGGGAGCGUAGGCGGACAUUUAAGUCAGGGGUGAAAUCCCGGGGCUCAACCUCGGAAUUGCCUUUGAUACUGGGUGUCUUGAGUAUGAGAGAGGUGUGUGGAACUCCGAGUGUAGAGGUGAAAUUCGUAGAUAUUCGGAAGAACACCAGUGGCGAAGGCGACACACUGGCUCAUUACUGACGCUGAGGCUCGAAAGCGUGGGGAGCAAACAGGAUUAGAUACCCUGGUAGUCCACGCCGUAAACGAUGAUUGCUAGUUGUCGGGAUGCAUGCAUUUCGGUGACGCAGCUAACGCAUUAAGCAAUCCGCCUGGGGAGUACGGUCGCAAGAUUAAAACUCAAGGAAUUGACGGGGGCCCGCACAGCGUGAGCAUGUGUUUAUUCGAGCACGCGCAGACCUUACCACCUUUUGACAUGCCCGGACCGCCCAGAGAAGAAUUCUU